GUGCCAGCAGCCGCGGUAAUACCGGCAGCCCAAGUGAUGGCCGAUCUUAUUGGGCCUAAAGCGUCCGUAGCUGGCCGCGCAAGUCCAUCGGAAAAUCCACCCGCCCAACGGGUGGGCGUCCGGUGGAAACUGUGUGGCUUGGGACCGGAAGGCGCGACGGGUACGUCCGGGGUAGGAGUGAAAUCCCGUAAUCCUGGACGGACCGCCGAUGGCGAAAGCACUUCGAGAAAACGGAUCCGACAGUGAGGGACGAAAGCCAGGGUCUCCAACCGGAUUAGAUGCCCUUGUAGUCC
This 293-nucleotide ribosomal RNA is filed under the name uncultured bacterium. RNAcentral's name for it is "partial 16S ribosomal RNA". It matches the Rfam family "Archaeal small subunit ribosomal RNA", at positions 455 to 747 of the family's 1478-position model. The record is from RNAcentral.